ACGGUCCAGACUCCUACGGGAGGCAGCAGUGGGGAAUAUUGCACAAUGGGCGCAAGCCUGAUGCAGCCAUGCCGCGUGUAUGAAGAAGGCCUUCGGGUUGUAAAGUACUUUCAGCGAGGAGGAAGGCGUUAAGGUUAAUAACCUUGGCGAUUGACGUUACUCGCAGAAGAAGCACCGGCUAACUCCGUGCCAGCAGCCGCGGUAAUACGGAGGGUGCAAGCGUUAAUCGGAAUUACUGGGCGUAAAGCGCACGCA
RNAcentral lists this ribosomal RNA (255 nucleotides) under Klebsiella planticola. RNAcentral describes it as "Raoultella planticola partial 16S ribosomal RNA". It matches the Rfam family "Bacterial small subunit ribosomal RNA", at positions 326 to 573 of the family's 1533-position model. Lineage: Bacteria; Pseudomonadati; Pseudomonadota; Gammaproteobacteria; Enterobacterales; Enterobacteriaceae. The record is from RNAcentral.